GACUUAGCUUGGAUAUUCAUUGUCAGAAGCUUAUUGCAGCACUUGUGAAAAUAUCUAGAUUGACAGCUCUGUGCAAUGAAUUCUCCUGUUAAUUGAUUUACAGAAAAUGUGCAACAGCUGAUGUAAGGUUUCUGCACACAUGAAUCCUACAGAGCUACCUGCAGGGAGCAGGAGGAAGAACCUAGUGUCUCUGCCUGCAGCACUGCUCGGAUUAAAGGCCCACUGUUGAGUUAUGCAACCACCAUCACCUCUACCAUGUCAAAAU
RNAcentral lists this long non-coding RNA (265 nucleotides) under Anas platyrhynchos platyrhynchos (common mallard). RNAcentral describes it as "lncRNA (ENSAPLG00000026513.1)". Lineage: Eukaryota; Metazoa; Chordata; Aves; Anseriformes; Anatidae. The record is from RNAcentral.